ACGCUCGACACCUACGGGAGGUAGCAGUAGGGAAUCUUCCACAAUGGACGCAAGUCUGAUGGAGCAACGCCGCGUGAGUGAAGAAGGUCUUCGGAUCGUAAAACUCUGUUGUUAGAGAAGAACACGAGUGAGAGUAACUGUUCAUUCGAUGACGGUAUCUAACCAGCAAGUCACGGCUAACUACGUGCCAGUAGCCGCCGGUAAGUACUGAGCGGGCGUGGCGAAGGACG
This 230-nucleotide ribosomal RNA is filed under the name uncultured bacterium. RNAcentral describes it as "partial 16S ribosomal RNA". It matches the Rfam family "Bacterial small subunit ribosomal RNA", at positions 328 to 538 of the family's 1533-position model. The record is from RNAcentral.